This is a long non-coding RNA of Grammomys surdaster, 275 nucleotides long. RefSeq lists it as uncharacterized. The transcript is spliced from 2 exons. The record is from RefSeq and is a predicted model, not a curated record. Lineage: Eukaryota; Metazoa; Chordata; Mammalia; Rodentia; Muridae.
AGGACUUAAGACCGGAUGCUCUUAAAUUAAAUGCAGUGCUGAAGGUGAGUGCCCAUUGGUGAAGAUGAAACACACUUCAGACCAAGAACUUGGAAGAUUUGACUUUCUUCCUUCCUCCCUCCUCUCUCCCCUCUCCUCUUCCUUCCUCCUUUGGGAGUAAUUUAAGAAGAAUUGAUUGCAAACAGUUGAAAGACUGGUAGAAUUCUGCUGUGAAUCAUUUAGGCCUGAGCUGUUUGAGGUGGAUCUAAUUUAAUAAAGUAUACACUUUUAAAGGA